AGCAGCCGCGGUAAUUCCAGCUCCAAUAGCGUAUAUUAAAGUUGUUGCAGUUAAAAAGCUCGUAGUUGAAUUUCGGGGUUAGUAGGUUGGUCAUGCCUCUGGUAUGUACUGAUCUCACUGAUUCCUCCUUCCUUAUGAACCGUAAUGCCAUUAAUUUGGUGUUGCGGGGAAUUUGGACUGUUACUUUGAAAAAAUUAGAGUGUUUAAAGCAAGCUAACGCUUGAAUACAUUAGCAUGGAAUAAUGAAAUAGGACGUUCGAUCUUAUUUUGUUGGUUUCUAGGAUUGACGUAAUGAUUAAUAGGGAUAGUUGGGGGCAUUAGUAUUCAAUUGUCAGAGGUGAAAUUCUUGGAUUUAUUGAAGACUAACUACUGCGAAAGCAUUUGCCAAGGAUGUUUUCAUUAAUCAAGAACGAAAGUUAGGGGAUCGAAGACGAUCAGAUACCGUCGUAGUCUUAACCAUAAACUAUGCCGACUAGGGAUCGGAUGAUGUUAAUUUUUUAAUGACUCAUUCGGCGCCUUACG
RNAcentral lists this ribosomal RNA (522 nucleotides) under uncultured Glomeraceae. RNAcentral describes it as "SSU rRNA". It matches the Rfam family "Eukaryotic small subunit ribosomal RNA", at positions 569 to 1092 of the family's 1831-position model. The record is from RNAcentral. Lineage: Eukaryota; Fungi; Glomeromycota; Glomeromycetes; Glomerales; Glomeraceae.